GAUUUAGUGGCGGACGGGUGAGUAACACGUUGGUACCUACCCUCUAGUGGGGAAUAACUUCGAGAAAUCGAGGCUAAUACCGCAUAAUAUCUACGGAUUAAAGCAUUUAUGCGCUAGAGGAGGGGCCUGCGUCUGAUUAGCUUGUUGGUGAGGUAAAAGCUCACCAAGGCGACGAUCAGUAGCUGGAUCGAGAGGUUGACCAGCCACACUGGGACUGAGAUACGGCCCAGACUCCUACGGGAGGCAGCAGUAAGGAAUCUUCCACAAUGGGCGAAAGCCUGAUGGAGCAAUGCCGCGUGCAGGAUGACGGCCUUCGGGUUGUAAACUGCUUUUAUAUGGGAAGAUUAUGACGGUACCAUAUGAAUAAGGACCGGCUAACUACGUGCCAGCAGCCGCGGUAAUACGUAGGGUCCAAGCGUUAUCCGGAAUCACUGGGCGUAAAGCGUUUGUAGGCGGAAGUUUAAGUGAGAUGCGAAAUCUUGUGGCUCAACCACAUAGACGGUAUCUCAUACUGGGCUUCUAGAAUAUAGCAGAGGUAAGUGGAAUUAGUAGUGUAGCGGUAAAAUGCGUAGAUAUUACUAGGAACACCAAUGGCGAAGGCAGCUUACUGGGCUAUUAUUGACGCUGAGAAACGAAAGCGUGGGGAGCGAACAGGAUUAGAUACCCUGGUAGUCCACGCCGUAAACGAUGUGUGCUAUUAGUUCGAGGUAUCGACCCCUUGGGCUGAACAGCUAACGC
RNAcentral lists this ribosomal RNA (738 nucleotides) under uncultured bacterium. RNAcentral's name for it is "bacterial SSU rRNA". It matches the Rfam family "Bacterial small subunit ribosomal RNA", at positions 89 to 858 of the family's 1533-position model. The record is from RNAcentral.